UUGCUCAUUUUGUCAGCACAUAUAGUAAAAUUAGAAAGACCUAGAGAAUAUUAGCUAUGGCCUCUGUGCAAGGAUCAUAUGAAAGUGUGUGAAUUGUUCCAUAUUUAU
Small nuclear RNA from Tachyglossus aculeatus (Australian echidna), 108 nucleotides. NCBI's taxonomy places the organism in Eukaryota, Metazoa, Chordata, Mammalia, Monotremata, Tachyglossidae. The record is from RefSeq and is a predicted model, not a curated record.